This 443-nucleotide ribosomal RNA is filed under the name uncultured bacterium. RNAcentral's name for it is "partial 16S ribosomal RNA". It matches the Rfam family "Bacterial small subunit ribosomal RNA", at positions 339 to 795 of the family's 1533-position model. The record is from RNAcentral.
CUACGGGUGGCACCAGUCGAGAAUCUUCCGCAAUGGGCGAAAGCCUGACGGAGCGACACAGCGUGAUUGACGAAGCUCUUCGGAGUGUAAAAAUCUUUUAUGAGUGAAGAAGUUUAUUGACAUUAGCUCAUGAAUAAGGGGUUGCUAAACUCGUGCCAGCAGCAGCGGUAAUACGAGUGCCCCGAGCGUUAUCCGGAAUUAUUGGGCGUAAAGCGUGUGUAGGUGGUUUUGUUAGUCUUUUGUUAAAGCUCCGGGCUCAACUCGGAAUCUGCAAGAGAAACGGCAAAACUAGAGAGUGUGAGGGGUUAAUGGAACUCAUAGUGUAGGGGUGAAAUCCGUUGAUAUUAUGGGGAACACCAAAAGCGAAGGCAAUUAACUGGCACAUUUCUGACACUGAGACACGAAAGCGUGGGUAGCGAAUGGGAUUAGAUACCCCUGUAGUC